Molecule: ribosomal RNA, 516 nt
Filed under: uncultured bacterium
Lineage: Bacteria
Description: partial 16S ribosomal RNA
Rfam family: Bacterial small subunit ribosomal RNA
Source: RNAcentral
GAUGAACGCUGGCGGCGUGCCUAAUACAUGCAAGUCGAACGCAUUGAGAGAAGUGCUUGCACUUUUCAAUUUGAGUGGCGAACGGGUGAGUAACACGUGGGCAACCUACCUGAUAGCGGGGGAUAACGAGUGGAAACAUUCGCUAAUACCGCAUAACAAUAGAGAAGGCAUCUUCUUUAUUUAAAAGGCGCUUUCAAGCGUCACUAUCAGAUGGGCCCGCGGUGCAUUAGUUAGUUGGUGGGGUGAAGGCCUACCAAGACGAUGAUGCAUAGCCGGGUUGAGAGACUGGUCGGCCACAUUGGGACUGAGACACGGCCACAACUCCUACGGGAGGCUGCAGUAGGGAAUCUUCCACAAUGGACGAAAGUCUGAUGGAGCAACGCCGCGUGUGUGAUGAAGGCUUUCGGGUCGUAAAGCACUGUUGUAUGGGAAGAAAUGCUAGGCUAGGAAAUGAGCUUAGUUUGACGGUACCAUACCAGAAAGGGACGGCUAAAUACGUGCCAGCCGCCGCGGUAA